This 75-nucleotide transfer RNA is filed under the name Vreelandella aquamarina. RNAcentral describes it as "tRNA-Met". Lineage: Bacteria; Pseudomonadati; Pseudomonadota; Gammaproteobacteria; Oceanospirillales; Halomonadaceae. The record is from RNAcentral.
AGCAAUGCUAAGAAAAUCAAAUCAAUCCGGCUCAUAACCCGAAGGUCAUCGGUUCAAAUCCGGUCCCCGCUACCA